Molecule: ribosomal RNA, 492 nt
Filed under: uncultured bacterium
Lineage: Bacteria
Description: partial 16S ribosomal RNA
Rfam family: Bacterial small subunit ribosomal RNA
Source: RNAcentral
AGUGAACGCUGGCGGUAGGCCUAACACAUGCAAGUCGAACGGCAGCACAGUAAGAGCUUGCUCUUACGGGUGGCGAGUGGCGGACGGGUGAGGAAUACAUCGGAAUCUACUUUUUCGUGGGGGAUAACGUAGGGAAACUUACGCUAAUACCGCAUACGACCUACGGGUGAAAGCAGGGGAUCUUCGGACCUUUCCCGAUUGAUUGAGCCGAUGUCGGAUUAGCUAGUUGGCGGGGUAAAGGCCCACCAAGGCGACGAUCCGUAGCUGGUCUGAGAGGAUGAUCAGCCACACUGGAACUGAGACACGGUCCAGACUCCUACGGGAGGCAGCAGUGGGGAAUAUUGGACAAUGGGCGCAAGCCUGAUCCAGCCAUACCGCGUGGGUGAAGAAGGCCUUCGGGUUGUAAAGCCCUUUUGUUGGGAAAGAAAAGCAGCAGGUUAAUACCCCGCUGUUCUGACGGUACCCAAAGAAUAAGCACCGGCUAACUUCGUG